RNAcentral lists this ribosomal RNA (893 nucleotides) under uncultured anaerobic bacterium. RNAcentral's name for it is "bacterial SSU rRNA". It matches the Rfam family "Bacterial small subunit ribosomal RNA", at positions 29 to 896 of the family's 1533-position model. The record is from RNAcentral.
ACGAACGCUGGCGGCGUGCCUAAUACAUGCAAGUUGAACGCAACAAAGACACCAGAGCUUGCUCUACCGUCUUUGUUGAGUAGCGAACGGGUGAGUAACGCGUGGGUAACCUGCCUUAUAGCGGGGGAUAACUAUUGGAAACGAUAGCUAAUACCGCAUAACAAUAGAGAUUGCAUAAUCUUUAUUUGAAAGUACCAACUGGUACACUAUGAGAUGGACCCGCGUUGUAUUAGCUAGUUGGUAGUGUAAUGGACUACCAAGGCGAUGAUACAUAGCCGACCUGAGAGGGUGAUCGGCCACAUUGGGACUGAGACACGGCCCAAACUCCUACGGGAGGCAGCAGUAGGGAAUCUUCGGCAAUGGACGAAAGUCUGACCGAGCAACGCCGCGUGAGUGAAGAAGGUUUUCGGAUCGUAAAACUCUGUUGUUAGAGAAGAAUGUUGAUUAGAGUGGAAAAUUAAUCAAGUGACGGUAUCUAACCAGAAAGGGACGGCUAACUACGUGCCAGCAGCCGCGGUAAUACGUAGGUCCCGAGCGUUGUCCGGAUUUAUUGGGCGUAAAGCGAGCGCAGGUGGUUUAAUAAGUCUGAUGUAAAAGGCAGUGGCUCAACCAUUGUGUGCAUUGGAAACUGUUAGACUUGAGUGCAGUAGAGGAGAGUGGAAUUCCAUGUGUAGCGGUGAAAUGCGUAGAUAUAUGGAGGAACACCGGUGGCGAAAGCGGCUCUCUGGACUGUCACUGACACUGAGGCUCGAAAGCGUGGGUAGCAAACAGGAUUAGAUACCCUGGUAGUCCACGCCGUAAACGAUGAGUGCUAGUUGUUUGGGGCUAUCCAGCCCUAAGUGACGCAGCAAACGCAUUAAGCACUCCGCCUGGGGAGUACGACCGCAAGGUUG